ACUUUCCAAAAAUGAACCCAUGUGUAUUCACAUACAUUCUAUACAUUCACUUUUAUACCAACAAAUUAAAGCAGGGAAGCAAAACAUCAAAGUGACAAUUUCUUUUGAUCAAGCACUAGAAAUUGGAUUUAUUGGAAGUCCACAUCUGCUCAUCCGAUACAUAUGAAUGGAUUUCAUCAGAGCACCUUUAGGUAAUGCCAGACACUUAAGGGAAAUGAGAUGAUUUCUCUCAAUUUCUGUGCAAUUUUUUUUUUUUUAAUAAUAACUGCCCUUUUCCUUUCACAAUGAUUGGUAGUUAUGUCUCCGAUUUGACAUAUCUUUCUAAAUCUUUAUCGGUUCAACUUUUGAAAUUUGGGGAUUCAAUUCUUGGAAAAGUUGCUUCUCUCAGGCUUCCAGGCCACUCCGGCUGUGCAAAUUUAACUUCUAUCGUGAUGGAAAUUAGGGGAAAUCCCUUGGUCUUCAGUUAUCCUUCAACCUUUAACAUUAUCCCGUCUAGAUCAUCGAGCAUUGAGAGCCGUUAACCUUCUUAGAUUGGCCUAGUGACGCCAUUUGCUCAUAUUGCAUUGUGUGACGUGCUUCAACACGCACGCACGCACACACACACACCCCCCCCGUUGUCAGGGCACGCACGUAUUUGCCAAAACAUGCUGCUGUCUUUUUCCCCAACAUGAGUGCCUGUCAACUCUCCAGAAAUCUGCGAUGUCUCCAGAUUUGUUCCCUCGAUGGGAAACUUUCUGUUUGUGUGGCAUGUUUUGUUGGUGUUUUGCGUGUAAAAUGACACUGACGUGACACGGCCAGUGUGUAUGUUUGCCCAUAAAGGAUGGAGUUUCAUGUCAUCCAUCUCCCCUGAAGGAGGAGAGAAGUAGUCGAGAGGAAAAAGUGGCUGAGGAAGAAAAAAAAUGGCACGCAAGAGGUACAUGGCUAAGCAGUGCCAGGUUACCAGGCUUAUUGAAGUAAAAUGCAUGCAACAAUAAAUGUUGCCAGCCCUCGGAAUGAAGUGGACAAGUCUCAAAUUAAGCGACAUUUCAAGGAAAGAGGAAAAUUCUUCAAUUAGACUCAUGAGGCCUCACAAAGAUGCCACCAGUUCAGCGAGCGGCACCCAUUGGAAGUCCACCUGCUUUUCCUGGCCCCAUCCUGCUGUCGCCGACGUCUAUGCCUCCAAGAGGAGCUGCUUUCAUCUCCACCGAGUUUGACCCGACCAAGUUGGCACCGAGUAGUGUAAAACACCCGGAGGACUCCAUCCAGGACUCUAUAGGAGACACAGGCAUGCCUUUGGAUAUGUGCGCCGACCACCAGCUGGGUUCUCCCACAGCACCGGUGAUGACCCUGCCGGGCACGGGAGUCAUGCAGGGUUCCAGACUGGGCAUGCCCCCUCUGCAGCCUCCCCCCAACAUGCCGAAUCCUCAUCUACCUCCUUUCCUCUCGCCUCCAAACAUGUCGCACAAUCACCCGCAAAUGAUGCCCGGACGGCCCGUGUUUUCUCCGGAGAGGUUCAGGAUGCCCAUGCCCUUUCCGCCUCGCGGCCCUCCUUUCCAUCGGCAUCUCUCCAUGGGACCAGACGGCAUGCACGACAGGGAAGGGAUGCAUUUCAGAAACGGGAGAGCAGGGUUUGGGUGCCCGCCCUUCCAGAGAGGGAGGUGGUAGAAGCAGGCAGAAUGACAGACCUGAGGGGAGAGGCGUCGGGAUCACUGUGACGGAUCAGUAUCACGACAUCUGGUUCAACAAGGAACUGCUGUAAAUAAUUGAGGGUGCUUAGACUUCUUUUAGUACCGCACCCUUUUCUUACCGUCACAUGAACAAUCACACAGACAGUGUUCUGAAUGUGAUCCACGCACCUCCAAGUUCACCAGAGGAGAGACCUUUUGUUGUAAAUACUGUACAUGCUCGUAGCUGUUUGCUAUCUUUUUGUAUAUUUGAAGUGUGUAGUUCAUGCUGAAGUCUAAUCUUAGUAGUUGGAGGGGAAAAAACAAAGGCAACGUCUGUAUUUUUGAGCGUAUUCCCUUUACCAUAGUUUUUGUCUAAGGAAGGAGACUGAAAAUCUAUAAUUCAAUCACCGUUUUGGUAUUUAGUUUUUAGCGAAAUGGCUUUUGUAACACACUAAUGUUUAAUUCCUGAGUUAAGAAGUUUGAUUUCAUUUGAAGUGGAAGAUUCAUGUCCUGCCAGCAGAGGGUAGUGUAAACCCUGUUACCGCGGCCAACCCCUGUUGUACAUUAAGGUCACACCUUGUAACUCGCAUUGAAAAUUAAAAAAAGGUUUCAAUUUGA
Long non-coding RNA from Gasterosteus aculeatus aculeatus (three-spined stickleback), 2264 nucleotides. The record is from Ensembl. Lineage: Eukaryota; Metazoa; Chordata; Actinopteri; Perciformes; Gasterosteidae.